UGGAUGCCAGCUCUCAGAUAAGUGCUCUGUUUUGCUCUCUCUUUUGAAUGUUCUGUUCAUAGCCCCGUAGCUCUCUGAGGUCGCUUCUGCUCUGGCGAUUGUUGAGUGUGGUCUCGGGUUUUGGUGAUUAAAAAUGGCCUGAUUUCUCUCCUUCCAUACACUCCAUAGCAGCACCGCAAUUUGAUUGAACAUGCCCGAAGUAAUUGGGUUCUGUUUGAUUCUGCAGAGCCAUUCUUCAAACCGGGUGAGGCCAAAUCUGGAGAUUCGUUGAUUGAGGGGAGAUGAGAUCCAUACCUUAGCCGUCCAAGGGCAUAGGAGAAGAGUAUGCUCGGGCGUUUCUGGUUCCUGCUUGCAGAUGGGGCAUAGAGGUGAGGGGACAAUCUUUCUUUUAUGCAAAUUCUCCAUAGUAGCAGUUGCGUUGUUGCAUGCGUUCCAAAGAAAGAAUUUAACUUUGGGUGGGAUAGUGGUCUGCCAGAUAUAUUUCCAGAGGUUUGGGUUGGAUGUAUAGGACGAAUGUGCUUGUGUGUCCUGCGGUUGAAUUCUGGCAUCCCUGAAGAUAAAAUAACCACUCUUGACCUCGUAAUCUCCUGACUUAGUAUGCAUCCAGACUAGUUUAUCUUCUUCGUUAGGUAAGCUGAUGGGAAUGGCUAGUAUUUCUUGGACCCUUAUGUCAUCAAACAUAGAGCGCAAUAGGUUUUCAUUCCAUGUGCCUGUAUCGGUGUUGAUGAGGUCCGAAACACGUUCUGGUUCAUUAGUUGUUGCUGUGCCUCCUAUCAGGCCGCUUUUUAGCCAUCUGUCUGUUCUGAUGACUGUGUUUUUUCCAUUGCCUAUCCUGUGCAUUACCUGAGGAGCAACCAUGUCCCUGGCUUUGAGGAUACUUCGCCAACUCCACGAGGGUCGAGAGCCGCUUCGAGCAUUCCAGAUGUCACCUUCUGUCGAGUUUGGAGUUGACCCAAGCUUGUAUCCACGCAAAGAGGUCUUUCUUGGAGUUCCCCCAAUCUGAAGGAAAAAGAUGGAGUCGUCAGCGAAGAGGAGGUGGGACAGAGCAGGACAGUGGAUGUUCAUUUUGAUUCCUGUGAGCAAGCCCUCUUGGACUGCAUUCUUCAUGAGGGUAGACAGCACGUUGGCCACAAUGAUGAAGAGGUAAGGUGAAAGAGGGUCCCCUUGGCGCAAUCCUCUGGUUGGUUUGAAGGGAGGUGGCCAGUAGAGAAGAGAUGCUGUACUGUUUAGAAUAUGUCUUUGGAGAUUACGGACCAGUGCUCCUUGUAGAAGAGGCCAUGGAAACCGUCGGGACCUGGUGCCUUAUAGGCCCCUAACUGCUGCAUUGCAUGAGUGACCUCCUCCUCAGUUACUUGAGCCAUCAAGGUUUGGUUGGUUUGAUCAUCUACUAAGGUGGCAUUGAUAUGUGAUUGCGACAUCUCCUCUGGAUCGUCGUCGCAUGAAAGAAGCGGGUGUUGAAGAUCUCCUUGCAGCAUGGUGAUUCUUUUCCUAGCGUGGCCGAAUUUGUUUCUGCUCCAGUUCAUCAGUUUCUGCUGUAGUUGCUGCAGUUUCUCCACCGGGGUUAGUUCGGUGCUCUGCCAGGUGUCAGUAACUAUUUCUUUGCUUUCAACUUCAUCUUUCCAGUAUGCUUCAUAUUCAAAUUGCUUUCGUUGUUUUCUCUUCGGUUGAGUCAAGGAUAGCAGGAGAGGAGUGUGGUCUGAUCCUAUCGUUGGGAAUGCAAAGCAUUGAGCCUCAGGGUGAAGGAGCAUCCCUUGCAUUCGAGGUCCAUCAAGGAGCAUUGGCAUACAAAAUCUCGAAAGGCUGUUAUCCUGUGGCAUUGGGUGAAUAUCGCUGAGGCUGAGGAGGAAUUGAUAGUCACUUGCAUUUGAUCAUCCCAAAAUAGGGCUAAGCCCCCGCUGUGCCUUCUGGAUUAACUAGGAGAUAUGGUUUCCUGCCCUGCCUCAGCUUCCUUCAUCUGUUCCUCAUGGAGUACCAAUUGUGAGUCUUCAUCAAUACAGCUAUUGCCUCUUUUCUGUGGAUUUUUCU
Molecule: long non-coding RNA, 2025 nt
Organism: Eucalyptus grandis
Lineage: Eukaryota; Viridiplantae; Streptophyta; Magnoliopsida; Myrtales; Myrtaceae
Exons: 9
Source: RefSeq, a predicted model, not a curated record